RNAcentral lists this transfer RNA (70 nucleotides) under Rossellidae sp. DVL-2014. Its description in RNAcentral is "tRNA-His". The record is from RNAcentral. Lineage: Eukaryota; Metazoa; Porifera; Hexactinellida; Lyssacinosida; Rossellidae.
AUAAAUAUAGCUUAAACAAAGCCAAGACUUGUGGCGUCUUUUAUACAAAAAUAAUAUUUUGUUAUUUAUA